GGGCCCGACCGGAAUUGACAGGAUGGCGAUACAGUUGUAAGCAUGCAGCGCGUUGUGAGACUAGCGCUUUAAUCUGAACUCUCAACUUUCAAACGGCGAAAAUAACUACGCCUUAGCUGCUUAAUUUAGAAUUAAGUAAGCUUUUGUCCCGCUGGUCUUCUGUUCGGUCAGGCCAGCAACCGGGGCAUCGAACGACGGAACUGGCCAGGGCGCAGGGUGUGUCCGCCCGGUAAGACAAUCACCUAAGGAAAACGGUACAGGCGCUCGGCUGGCCUUCCCUUUCCCGACAACUAAAUAGCCGAUAAGCAUGUAGAAAGCUUCAUGUGUACCAUGUUUGGACGAGAGUUCGAAUCUCUCCGGGUCCACUU
This 368-nucleotide transfer-messenger RNA is filed under the name Sphingobacteriaceae. RNAcentral's name for it is "HMF7056 sp009834915 Standard tmRNA". It matches the Rfam family "transfer-messenger RNA". From Rfam's summary of the family: Bacterial tmRNA, also known as 10Sa RNA or SsrA, is named for its dual tRNA and mRNA-like properties. Its role is to liberate the mRNA from a stalled ribosome. The record is from RNAcentral. RNAcentral also lists the same sequence under 1 other name. Lineage: Bacteria; Pseudomonadati; Bacteroidota; Sphingobacteriia; Sphingobacteriales.